RNAcentral lists this long non-coding RNA (696 nucleotides) under Androctonus crassicauda. The record is from RNAcentral. Lineage: Eukaryota; Metazoa; Arthropoda; Arachnida; Scorpiones; Buthidae.
GUCAGGUUGAGUUGAGAGCUAACCUAAGGUGUGCUUUGUCUGUGUUGUUCCACUUUAAGAAGUAACUCAUGGAAUGAUUUCCUUUAUAAAAAGGUUUAAUUUCACUUCAUGAGCAUAUUUUUUAACAUUUUUUGAAAUUUUAAAUAUAUUCCGCAUUUUAUUGGUUGAUAGACAAUCUUCGGAUAAAAAAAAGCCGAUGAUCUGCCAUCCAGAUUAUUGGAUUGUAAGAUGGCGUAGGGCCUACUCUUCAAGUAUUAAGAAGAGUGUUAAAAGAAAGAGUCUGCAUAGUCAAGCAAAGGAAAUUAUACUGAACGUUUACGGCAAAUUAGUAGAACAACAUCCCGAUAAAUUAGUCAAGGACAUUACACAUAUGGUAGCAGACGUAGUCGAUGUCUCCGUAGCACCAAUCUUCAGAAUAAGGAAGGAAGUGAAGUUUUUAUUAAAGAAAUGAAGUAAAAAUUAAAGUUAACAGAUUUAAAAUUAUUUAAAGAACGGAAAAUUAAUUAUUUUAUCUCUUAUUAAAGUAAUAAAGUACUGUAAAUUGUAUAGGACUUGAUUAACGUAUUUUAAAAAAGCCUCUGUAUAAAUCAACUUCUAGCAGCAAAAUGAUACGUAGUGGGCGCUUCGCCGGUUGAUGACUUCAUAGGUAUCAACUCAAAUUGAUAUAGACUAUAGUUAGUUCCCGGCCACUAUCUG